This 253-nucleotide ribosomal RNA is filed under the name uncultured bacterium. RNAcentral's name for it is "partial 16S ribosomal RNA". It matches the Rfam family "Bacterial small subunit ribosomal RNA", at positions 524 to 776 of the family's 1533-position model. The record is from RNAcentral.
UACGUAGGGGGGCGAGCGUUGUCCGGAGUACUGGGCGUAAAGCGCACGCAGGCGGUCUGCUAAGUUUGGAGUGACAGUUGGUGGCUUAACUGCCAAAGUGCUUCGAAAACUGACAGACUUGAGGGCUUCAGAGGGACACGGAAUUCCGGGUGGAGUGGUGAAAUGCGUAGAGAUCGGAAAGAACACCAACGGCGAAAGCACUCUGCUGGGCCGACACUGACACUGAGAGACGAAAGCUAGGGGAGCGAAUGGG